UUUGUAGUGGGGUUAGCUGGCUAAUUUUAGAGUGUUAAAAAAGAUGUUAGAGGGGGAGGAUUUAGGUGGCACGGCGGUUCCCCUUCAGGUCUCUCUUAAUCCUCAAUAUAGGUGACCCAACAGGGGUUACCCCCCGGCCGGUGUAGGCCGAGGCUGAAGAUCACCUAUUUGUCCUCUGUGAAGGUGAAAAUAAAUGGGCAGGGGAGGGAAUAAGAAAGAGGGGGGGUGUUAGAGAGAGGGGGAGAGAUGAGGGAGAGAGAUGAGGGAGAGAGAGAGAGAGAGAGAGAGAGAGAGAGAGGGAAGAGGGAGAGGGGGGUUUAAGGGAGAGGUGGAGAUGGUGGAAAAUAAAGAUUGGUGAGGGGGAUUUGGUGGCGGAUGAAACAUCCCAUAGCUCCCCAGCUCUCACCAUCCAUGUGAGGAGAGUGAGCAAGGGACAUAGUCACCCGACCCGACUAGGUCUAGGCUCUGCUCUCCUCACGGUCCUCACAAGAUACAAAGAGAUAUGUAAACGUGGAAGUGAGAGUUCUCUAGGCAGAGUUUUGGGUUUGGUUUGAGCUGAGUUGGUCAGUUGAUUAUUGAUUACUAUUUUAAGUUCUAAAAGUGGAUUGAGUCAAAAAGUCACAGAGGAUUGUGGUGGGAGCAGGUGGUCCAUCUGGCACCAUUCUGCUCAUGCAGGGAUUCGAGUGAUAGAAAGAGAAUAGAUCUUGCAACCGUGACUCGCCAUUGAGAUUCUCCUCACCUGCUGGUUUUCAUCCUCUGAUAGGAGAGAGAGGUACAGAUCAGGAGAGAGGGAGAAAAGGAGGGAGGCAGGGUGGGGUCAGGAGUUAAUUUGUCUUGAAAAGUAUUUAUCUUUUCGUCAUUGCUGUUAGGGUUUAGAUGUUUUUUGUUUAGUUUUCUGAGGAAUGUAGUGUUAGUAUAGGUUCCAAGGUGGAGGAUUCUUUGGAAUUCACUCUCACCCUUGAAACUGGAAGAGGAGCAUGUUUCAGACCUUUUGGAGUUGGUUACACCAAAAAAAAUGUAAAAUGAAAAAAAAAUUUUUUUGGGUGUUCGGGCUUCCUGAAGGUAAUACUAGGUUUCUGGGCUUGGGUAAGGUUUAAGGUUUUGGGCGUUAGGGUUAAAAUCACUGUCCAAAACCUUUGUAGGAACUCUUUUCCAACCUUUUGGAGUUAGUUAGACAAAAAAAAAAAGAUGAAUGAAAAAAAAAUAUUUGGGGUGUUCGGGCUUCCUGAAGGUAAUACCCAGGUAUUAGGUUUUGGGGCUAGGGUUAGGUUUAAGGUUUUUGGCGUUAGGUUUAAAAUAACUGUCCAAUAUUUUUUAAGGAACAUGUUUCAGACCUUUGGGAGUUAGUUAGACAAAAAAAAAGAAAAAGAAAAAAAAAUAUUUGGGGUGUUCGGGUUUCCUGAAGGUAAUACCCGGGUAUUAGGUUAUGGGGCUAGGGUAAGGUUUAAGGUUUUUGGCGUUAGAGUUAAAAUCAGUGUCCAAAACCUUUUUAGGAACAUGUUUAAGACCUUUUGGAGUUGGUUACACCAAAAAAAAUGUAAAAUGAAAAAAAAAAAUAUUUGGGGUGUUCGGGCUUCCUGAAGAUAAUACCCGGGUAUUAGGUUAUGGUGCUAGGGUAAGGUUUAAGGUUUUUGGCGUGAGGGUUAAAAUCACUGUCCAAAACCUUUGUAGGACCUCUUUUCCAACCUUUUGAUGUAAGUUAGACAAAAAAAAACGAAUUUUGAAAAUCAAAUAUUUGGGGUUUUUGGGCUUCCUGAAGGUAAUACCCGGGUAUUAGGUUAUGGGGCUUUGGAAAGGUUUAAGGUUUUUGGCGUUAGGGUUAAAAUCACUGUCCAAUAUUUUUUAAGGAACAUGUUUCAGACCUUUUGGAGUUAGUUAGACCAAAAAAAAAGAAAAGAAAAAAAAAUAUUUGGGGUUUUCGGGCUUCCUGAAGGUAUUAGGUUUUGGGGCUAGGGUAAGGUUUAAGGUUUUUGGCGUUAGGGUUAAAAUCACUGUCCAAAACCUUUUAAGGAACAAGAUUCAGACCUUUUGGAGUUGGUUACACCAAAAAAAAAUGUAAAAUGAAAAAAAAAAAUUUGGGGUGUUCGGGCUUCCUGAAGGUAAUACCCGGGUAUUAGGUUAUGGGGCUAGGGUAAGGUUUAAGGUUUUUGGCGUAAGGGUUAAAAUCACUGUCCAAAACCUUUUUAGGAACAUGUUUCAGACCUUUUGGAGUUGGUUACACCAAAAAAAAUUGUAAAAUGAAAAAAAAAUUUUGGGGGGUGUUCGGGCUUCCUGAAGGUAAUACUAGGUUUCUGGGCUAGGGUAAUGUUUAAGGUUUUUGGCGUUAGGGUUAAAAUCAAUGUCCAAAACCUUUGUAGGAACUCUUUUCCAACCUUUGAGAGCAAGUUAGACCAAAAAAAAAAGAAAAAUAAAAAAUAUAUAUUUGGGGUGUUCGGGCUUCCUGAAGGUAAUACCCGGGUAUUGGGUUUUGGGGCUAGGGUUAGGUUUAAGGUUUUUGGUGUUAGGAUUAAAAUCAAUGUCCAAAACCUUUGUAGGAACUCUUUUCCAACCUUUGAGAGCAAGUUAGACCAAAAAAAAAAGAAAAAGAAAAAAUAUAUAUUUGGGGUGUUCGGGCUUCCUGAAGGUAAUACCCGGGUAUUAGGUUUUGGGGCUAGGGUUAGGUUUAAGGUUUUUGGCGGUAGGGUUAAAAUAACUGUCCAAUAUUUUUUAAGGAACAUGUUUCAGACCUUUGGGAGUUAGUUAGACAAAAAAAAAAAGAAAAAGAAAAAAAAAAUAUUUGGGGUGUUCGGGUUUCCUGAAGGUAAUACCCGGGUAUUAGGUUAUGGGGCUAGGGUAAGGUUUAAGGUUUUUGGCGUUAGAGUUAAAAUCAGUGUCCAAAACCUUUUUAGGAACAUGUUUAAGACCUUUUGGAGUUGGUUACACCCAAAAAAAUGUAAAAUGAAAAAAAAAAAAAAAAUUGGGUUUUUUGGGCUUCCUGAAGGUAAUACCCGUAUAUUAGGUUAUGGUGCUAGGGUAAGGUUUAAGGUUUUUGGCCUGAGGGUUAAAAUCACUGUCCAAAACCUUUGUAGGACCUCUUUUCCAACCUUUUGGUGUAAGUUAGACCAAAAAAAAACGAAAAUUGACAAACAAAUAUUUGGGGUUUUUGGGCUUCCUGAAGGUAAUACCCGGGUAUUAGGUUAUGGGGCUUUGGAAAGGUUUAAGGUUUUUGGCGUGAGGGUUAAAAUCACUGUCCAAAACCUUUGUAGGAAGUCUUUUCCAACCUUUUGGAGUUAGUUAGACCAAUAAAAAAAUGAAAAAUGAAAAAAAAAAAUUUGGGGUGUUCGGGCUUCCUGAAGGUAAUACCCGGGUAUUAGGUUUUGGGGCUAGGAUUAGGUUUAAGGUUUUUGGUGUUAGGGUUAAAAUCACUGUCCAAUAUUUUUUAAGGAACAUGUUUCAGACCUUUUGGAGUUAGUUAGACCAAAAAAAAAGAAAAGAAAAAAAAAUAUUUGGGGUUUUCGGGCUUCCUGAAGGUAUUAGGUUUUGGGGCUAGGGUAAGGUUUAAGGUUUUUGGCGUUAGGGUUAAAAUCACUGUCCAAAACCUUUUAAGGAACAAGAUUCAGACCUUUUGGAGUUGGUUACACCAAAAAAAAUGUAAAAUGAAAAAAAAAAUAUUUGGGGUGUUCGGGCUUCCUGAAGGUAAUACCCUUCAGGUUUAAGUAUUAGGUUUUGGGGCUAGGGUAAGGUUUAAGGUUUUUGGCGUAAGGGUUAAAAUCACUGUCCAAAACCUUUGUAGGAACUCUUUUCCAACCUUUUGGAGUUAGUUAGACCAAAAAAAAGGAAAAAAGAAAAAAAUAUAUUUGGGGUGUUCGGGCUUCCUGAAGGAAAUACCCAGGUAUUAGGUUAUGGGGCUAGGGUAAGGUUUAAGGUUUUUGGCGUUAGGGUUGAAAUCACUGUCCAAAACCUUUUAAGGAACACGUUUCAGACCUUUUGGAGUUGGUUACACCAAAAAAAAAUGUAAAAUGAAAAAAAAUAUAUUUGGGGUCUUCGGGCUUCCUGAAGGAAAUACCCAGGUAUUAGGUUAUGGGGCUAUAGUAAGGUUAAAGGUUUUUGGCGUUAGGGUUAAAAUCACUGUCCAAAACCUUUGUAGGAACUAUUUUCCAACCUUUUGGAGUUAGUUAGACCAAAAAAAAAACGAAAAAUGAAAAAAAAUAUUUGGGGUUUUUGGGCUUCCUGAAGGUAAUACCCGGGUAUUAGGUUUUGGGGCUAGGGUAAGGUUUAAGGUUUUUGGCGUUAGAGUUAAAAUCAGUGUCCAAAACCUUUUUAGGAACAUGUUUAAGACCUUUUGGAGUUGGUUACACCAAAAAAAAGGAAAAAAGAAAAAAAAAUAUUUGGGGUGUUCAAGUUUCCUGAAGGUAAUACCCGGGUUUUAGGUUUUGGGGCUAGGGUAAGGUUUAAGGUUUUUGGUGGUAGGGUUAAAAUCACUGUCCAAAACCUUUGUAGGAACUCUUUUCCAACCUUUUGGAGUUAGUUAGACCAAAAAAAAGGAAAAAAAAAAAAAAAUAUAUUUGGGGUGUUCGGGAUUCCUGAAGGAAAUACCCAGGUAUUAGGUUAUGGGGCUAGGGUAAGGUUUAAGGUUUUUGGCGUUAGGGUUGAAAUCACUGUCCAAAACCUUUUAAGGAACACGUUUCAGACCUUUUGGAGUUAGUUAGACAAAAAAAAAGAAGAUAAAUGAAAAAAAAAUAUUUGGGGUCUUCGGGCUUGCUGAAGGUAAUACCCGGGUAUUAGGUUAUGGGGCUAGGGUAAGGUUUAAGGUUUUUGGCGUUAGGGUUGAAAUCACUGUCCAAAACCUUUUAAGGAACACGUUUCAGACCUUUUGGAGUUGGUUACACCAAAAAAAAUGUAAAAUGAAAAAAAAUAUAUUUGGGGUCUUCGGGCUUCCUGAAGGAAAUACCCAGGUAUUAGGUUAUGGGGCUAUAGUAAGGUUAAAGGUUUUUGGCGUUAGGGUUAAAAUCACUGUCCAAAACCUUUGUAGGAACUAUUUUCCAACCUUUUGGAGUUAGUUAGACCAAAAAAAAACGAAAAAUGAAAAAAAAUAUUUGGGGUUUUUGGGCUUCCUGAAGGUAAUACCCGGGUAUUAGGUUUUGGGGCUAGGGUAAGGUUUAAGGUUUUUGGCGUUAGAGUUAAAAUCAGUGUCCAAAACCUUUUUAGGAACACGUUUCAGACCUUUUGGAGUUGGUUACACCAAAAAAAAGGAAAAAAGAAAAAAAAAUAUUUGGGGUGUUCAAGUUUCCUGAAGGUAAUACCCGGGUUUUAGGUUUUGGGGCUAGGGUAAGGUUUAAGGUUUUUGGUGGUAGGGUUAAAAUCACUGUCCAAAACCUUUGUAGGAACUCUUUUCCAACCUUUUGGAGUUAGUUAGACCAAAAAAAAGGAAAAAAGAAAAAAAUAUAUUUGGGGUGUUCGGGAUUCCUGAAGGAAAUUCCCAGGUAUUAGGUUAUGGGGCUAGGGUAAGGUUUAAGGUUUUUGGCGUUAGGGUUGAAAUCACUGUCCAAAACCUUUUAAGGAACACGUUUCAGACCUUUUGGAGUUAGUUAGACAAAAAAAAAGAAGAUAAAUGAAAAAAAAAUAUUUGGGGUCUUCGGGCUUCCUGAAGGUAAUACCCGGGUAUUAGGUUAUGGGGCUAGGGUAAGGUUUAAGGUUUUUGGCGUAAGGGUUAAAAUCACUGUCCAAAACCUUUUUAGGAACAUGUUUCAGACCUUUUGGAGUUGGUUACACCAAAAAAAAUGUAAAAUGAAAAAAAAAAUAUUUGGGGUGUUCGGGCUUCCUGAAGGUAAUACCCUUCAGGUUUAAGUAUUAGGUUAUGCGGCUAGGAUUAGGUUUAAGUUUUUUGGCGUAAGGGUUAAAAUCACUGUCCAAAACCUUUUAAGGAACAAGAUUCAGACCUUUUGGAGUUGGUUACACCAAAAAAAAUGUAAAAUGAAAAAAAAAUAUUUGGGGUGUUCAAGUUUCCUGAAGGUAAUACCCGGGUAUUAGGUUUUGGGGCUAGGGUAAGGUUUAAGGUUUUUGGUGGUAGGGUUAAAAUCACUGUCCAAAACCUUUGUAGGAACUCUUUUCCAACCUUUUGGAGUUAGUUAGACCAAAAAAAAGGAAAAAAGAAAAAAAUAUAUUUGGGGUGUUCGGGCUUCCUGAAGGAAAUACCCAGGUAUUAGGUUAUGGGGCUAGGGUAAGGUUUAAGGUUUUUGGCGUUAGGGUUGAAAUCACUGUCCAAAACCUUUUAAGGAACACGUUUCAGACCUUUUGGAGUUGGUUACACCAAAAAAAAAUGUAAAAUGAAAAAAAAUAUAUUUGGGGUCUUCGGGCUUCCUGAAGGAAAUACCCAGGUAUUAGGUUAUGGGGCUAUAGUAAGGUUAAAGGUUUUUGGCGUUAGGGUUAAAAUCACUGUCCAAAACCUUUGUAGGAACUAUUUUCCAACCUUUUGGAGUUAGUUAGACCAAAAAAAAAACGAAAAAUGAAAAAAAAUAUUUGGGGUUUUUGGGCUUCCUGAAGGUAAUACCCGGGUAUUAGGUUUUGGGGCUAGGGUAAGGUUUAAGGUUUUUGGCGUUAGAGUUAAAAUCAGUGUCCAAAACCUUUUUAGGAACAUGUUUAAGACCUUUUGGAGUUGGUUACACCAAAAAAAAGGAAAAAAGAAAAAAAAAUAUUUGGGGUUUUCAAGUUUCCUGAAGGUAAUACCCGGGUUUUAGGUUUUGGGGCUAGGGUAAGGUUUAAGGUUUUUGGUGGUAGGGUUAAAAUCACUGUCCAAAACCUUUGUAGGAACUCUUUUCCAACCUUUUGGAGUUAGUUAGACCAAAAAAAAGGAAAAAAGAAAAAAAUAUAUUUGGGGUGUUCGGGAUUCCUGAAGGAAAUACCCAGGUAUUAGGUUAUGGGGCUAGGGUAAGGUUUAAGGUUUUUGGCGUUAGGGUUGAAAUCACUGUCCAAAACCUUUUAAGGAACACGUUUCAGACCUUUUGGAGUUAGUUAGACAAAAAAAAAGAAGAUAAAUGAAAAAAAAAUAUUUGGGGUCUUCGGGCUUGCUGAAGGUAAUACCCGGGUAUUAGGUUAUGGGGCUAGGGUAAGGUUUAAGGUUUUUGGCGUUAGGGUUGAAAUCACUGUCCAAAACCUUUUAAGGAACACGUUUCAGACCUUUUGGAGUUGGUUACACCAAAAAAAAAUGUAAAAUGAAAAAAAAUAUAUUUGGGGUCUUCGGGCUUCCUGAAGGAAAUACCCAGGUAUUAGGUUAUGGGGCUAUAGUAAGGUUAAAGGUUUUUGGCGUUAGGGUUAAAAUCACUGUCCAAAACCUUUGUAGGAACUAUUUUCCAACCUUUUGGAGUUAGUUAGACCAAAAAAAAAACGAAAAAUGAAAAAAAAUAUUUGGGGUUUUUGGGCUUCCUGAAGGUAAUACCCGGGUAUUAGGUUUUGGGGCUAGGGUAAGGUUUAAGGUUUUUGGCGUUAGAGUUAAAAUCAGUGUCCAAAACCUUUUUAGGAACACGUUUCAGACCUUUUGGAGUUGGUUACACCAAAAAAAAGGAAAAAAGAAAAAAAAAUAUUUGGGGUGUUCAAGUUUCCUGAAGGUAAUACCCGGGUUUUAGGUUUUGGGGCUAGGGUAAGGUUUAAGGUUUUUGGUGGUAGGGUUAAAAUCACUGUCCAAAACCUUUGUAGGAACUCUUUUCCAACCUUUUGGAGUUAGUUAGACCAAAAAAAAGGAAAAAAGAAAAAAAUAUAUUUGGGGUGUUCGGGAUUCCUGAAGGAAAUUCCCAGGUAUUAGGUUAUGGGGCUAGGGUAAGGUUUAAGGUUUUUGGCGUUAGGGUUGAAAUCACUGUCCAAAACCUUUUAAGGAACACGUUUCAGACCUUUUGGAGUUAGUUAGACAAAAAAAAAGAAGAUAAAUGAAAAAAAAAUAUUUGGGGUCUUCGGGCUUCCUGAAGGUAAUACCCGGGUAUUAGGUUAUGGGGCUAGGGUAAGGUUUGAGGUUUUUGGCGUUAGGGUUAAAAUCACUGUCCAAAACCUUUUUAGGAACAUGUUUCAGACCUUUUGGAGUUGGUUACACCAAAAAAAAUGUAAAAUGAAAAAAAAAAUAUUUGGGGUUUUCGGGCUUCCUGAAGGUAAUACCCGGGUAUUAGGUUAUGGGGCUAGGGUAAGGUUUAAGGUUUUUGGCGUAAGGGUUAAAAUCACUGUCCAAAACCUUUUAAGGAACAUGUUUCAGACCUUUUGGAGUUGGUUACACCAAAAAAAAUGUAAAAUGAAAAAAAAAUAUUUGGGGUGUUCAAGUUUCCUGAAGGUAAUACCCGGGUUUUAGGUUUUGGGGCUAGGGUAAGGUUUAAGGUUUUUGGUGGUAGGGUUAAAAUCACUGUCCAAAACCUUUGUAGGAACUCUUUUCCAACCUUUUGGAGUUAGUUAGACCAAAAAAAAGGAAAAAAGAAAAAAAUAUAUUUGGGGUGUUCGGGCUUCCUGAAGGUAAUACCCGGGUAUUAGGUUUUGGGGCUAGGGUAAGGUUUAAGGUUUUUGGCGUUAGGGUUAAAAUCACUGUCCAAAACCUUUUUAGGAACAUGUUUCAGACCUUUUGGAGUUGGUUACACCAAAAAAAAGAAAAAAUGAAAAAAAAAUAUUUGGGGUUUCAAGCUUCCUGAAGGUAAUACCCGGGUAUUAGGUUUUGGGGCUAGGGUAAGGUUUAAGGUUUUUGGCGUUAGGGUUAAAAUCACUGUCCAAAACCUUUGUAGGAACUCUUUUCCAACCUUUUGGAGUUAGUUAGACCAAAAAAAAGGAAAAAAGAAAAAAAUAUAUUUGGGGUGUUCGGGCUUCCUGAAGGUAAUACCCAGGUAUUAGGUUAUGGGGCUAGGGUAAGGUUUAAGGUUUUUGGCGUUAGGGUUAAAAUCACUGUCCAAAACCUUUUUAGGAACAUGUUUCAGACCUUUUGGAGUUAGUUAGACCAAAAAAAAGAAGAAAAUGAAAAAAAAAUAUUUGGGGUGUUCGGGCUUCCUGAAGGUAAUACCCGGGUAUUAGGUUAUGGGGCUAGGGUAAGGUUUAAGGUUUUUGGCGUUAGGGUUAAAAUCACUGUCCAAAACCUUUUAGGAACUCGUUUCAGACCUUUUGGAGUUAGUUAGACCAAAAAAAAAUGUAAAAAGAAAAAAAAAUAUUUGGGGUGUUCGGGCUUCCUGAAGGAAAUACCCAGGUAUUAGGUUAUGGGGCUAGGGUAAGGUUUAAGGUUUUUGGCGUUAGGGUUAAAAUCACUGUCCAAAACCUUUGUAGGAACUAUUUUCCAACCUUUUGGAGUUAGUUAGACCAAAAAAAAAAGAAAAUGAAAAAAAAAUAUUUGGGGUUUUGGGCUUCCUGAAGGUAAUACCCGGGUAUUAGGUUUGGGGCUAGGGUAAGGUUUAAGGUUUUUGGCGUUAGGGUUAAAAUCACUGUCCAAAACCUUUUUAGGAACAUGUUUCAGACCUUUUGGAGUUGGUUACACCAAAAAAAAAUGUAAAAAAAAAAAAAAUAUUUGGGGUGUUCGGGCUUCCUGAAGGUAAUACCCGGGUAUUAGGUUAUGGGGCUAGGGUAAGGUUUAAGGUUUUUGGCGUAGGGUUAAAAUCACUGUCCAAAACCUUUGUAGGAACUCUUUUCCAACCUUUUGGAGUUAGUUAGACCAAAAAAAAGAAAAAGAAAAAAAAUAUUUGGGGUGUUCGGGCUUCCUGAAGGUAAUACCCCAGGUAUUAGGUUAUGGGGCUAGGGUAAGGUUUAAGGUUUUUGGCGUUAGGGUUGAAAUCACUGUCCAAAACCUUUUAAGGAACACGUUUCAGACCUUUUGGAGUUAGUUAGACAAAAAAAAAGAAGAUAAAUGAAAAAAAAAUAUUUGGGGUCUUCGGGCUUCCUGAAGGUAAUACCCGGGUAUUAGGUUAUGGGGCUAGGGUAAGGUUUAAGGUUUUUGGCGUUAGGGUUAAAAUCACUGUCCAAAACCUUUUUAGGAACAUGUUUCAGACCUUUUGGAGUUGGUUACACCAAAAAAAAUGUAAAAUGAAAAAAAAUAUUUGGGGUGUUCGGGCUUCCUGAAGGUAAUACCCGGGUAUUAGGUUUUGGGGCUAGGGUAAGGUUUAAGGUUUUUGGUGUUAGGGUUAAAAUCAAUGUCCAAAACCUUUGUAGGAACUCUUUUCCAACCUUUUGGAGUUAGUUAGACAAAAAAAAAGAUAAAUGAAAAAAAAAUAUUUGGGGUGUUCGGGCUUCCUGAAGGUAAUACCCAGGUAUUAGGUUAUGGGGCUAGGGUAAGGUUUAAGGUUUUUGGCGUAAGGGUUAAAAUCACUGUCCAAAACCUUUUUAGGAACAUGUUUCAGACCUUUUGGAGUUGGUUACACCAAAAAAAAAUGUAAAAUGAAAAAAAAUUUUUUUGGGUGUUUGGGCUUCCUGAAGGUAAUACUAGGUUAAUGGGCUAGGGUAAUGUUUAAGGUUUUUGGCGUUAGGGUUAAAAUCACUGUCCAAAACCUUUUUAAGGAACAUGUUUCAGACCUUUGGGAGUUAGUUAGAAAAAAAAAAAGAAAAAGAAAAAAAAAAUAUUUGGGGUGUUCGGGUUUCCUGAAGGUAAUACCCAGGUAUUAGGUUAUGGGGCUAGGGUAAGGUUUAAGGUUUUUGGCGUAAGGGUUAAAAUCACUGUCCAAAACCUUUUAGGAACAUGUUUCAGACCUUUUGGAGUUGGUUACACCAAAAAAAAUGUAAAAUGAAAAAAAAUUUUUUUUGGGUGUUCGGGCUUCCUGAAGGUAAUACUAGGUUUCUGGGCUAGGGUAAUGUUUAAGGUUUUUGGCGUUAGGGUUAAAAUCAGUGUCCAAAACCUUUGUAGGAACUCUUUUCCAACCUUUGAGAGCAAGUUAGACCAAAACAAAAAUAAAAAUAAAAAUAUAUAUUUGGGGUGUUCGGGCUUCCUGAAGGUAAUACCCGGGUAUUAGGUUAUGGGGCUAGGGUAAGGUUUAAGGUUUUUGGCGUUAGGGUUAAAAUCAGUGUCCAAAACCUUUUUAGGAACAUGUUUCAGACCUUUUGGAGUUAGUUAGACCAAAAAAAAAAAAAAAAGAAAAAAAUAUAUUUGGGGUCUUCGGGCUUCCUGAAGGAAAUACCCAGGUAUUAGGUUAUGGGGCUAGGGUAAGGUUUAAGGUUUUUGGCGUUACGGUUAAAAUCACUGUCCAAAACCUUUUUAGGAACAUGUUUCAGACCUUUUGGAGUUGGUUACACCAAAAAAAAAUGUAAAAUGAAAAAAAAAAUAUUUGGGGUGUUCGGGCUUCCUGAAGGAAAUACCCAGGUAUUAGGUUAUGGGGCUAUAGUAAGGUUAAAGGUUUUUGGCGUUAGGGUUAAAA
RNAcentral lists this long non-coding RNA (11330 nucleotides) under Xyrichtys novacula (pearly razorfish). The record is from RNAcentral. Lineage: Eukaryota; Metazoa; Chordata; Actinopteri; Labriformes; Labridae.